RNAcentral lists this ribosomal RNA (274 nucleotides) under uncultured bacterium. RNAcentral's name for it is "partial 16S ribosomal RNA". It matches the Rfam family "Bacterial small subunit ribosomal RNA", at positions 523 to 796 of the family's 1533-position model. The record is from RNAcentral.
AUACGGAGGGGGCUAGCGUUGUUCGGAAUUACUGGGCGUAAAGCGCACGUAGGCGGAUUAAAAAGUUAGAGGUGAAAUCCCAGGGCUUAACCCUGGAACUGCCUUUAAAACUAGUAGUCUAGAGUUCGAGAGAGGGGAGUGGAAUUCCAAGUGUAGAGGUGAAAUUCGUAGAUAUUUGGAGGAACACCAGUGGCGAAGGCGGCUCACUGGCUCGAUACUGACGCUGAGGUGCGAAAGCGUGGGGAGCAAACAGGAUUAGAAACCCUAGUAGUCC